GAAUGCUUGAAUGCUUGAAUUCACAAACAGGAAAUUUAGAAAUCGUUUUCAUAAAUUGCCCAAAAUCAAGCGAGAUGUCACUAUUCAGACAACUAAUAAAAUAGCAGCAAGAAAUUUAUUCAUUCCUGCUUGACCUCUUCAUCAACAGCGAGAAAAUUAUGAAAAGUGGCAGGAAACCCUUGAAUCGCUGUGAACUGAGAUCACAAAGUUGAGAAGAAUGACACAAAACACCUCAGCAAUUUCAUUUUUGGUGAUGCUUUUCUUGAAACACUUUCUUCUCAUUUUGUAAGUUUGUAAUACAAAAUGAAAUGACGAUGACACAAUGACAAUCAAUCAUGUGACAAAAAUGUCUCAAUUUUAAUUAUAUGUAAACUGUUUUAAGAGUCCCACUAAUCUGGGAGCAGAACAAAGCUUUUGGUCGGUCCCCUGCUCAAAGACUUUUCUAACAGUUGAACUAGACAUAAAAACAUGUUACUAAACUCACAUUAUUUAUUUAAUAAAAAUUAUAAAAUAAUAAGUAAAAAAACAAUUAAGUUGGCCGAACAAUAGUCGUAUAUUUGUAGCAAAAGAAUUCAGCCAAAGUUCUCAUUUGGCAAUAAAAAUGAUCUGCUACAGUUGACGUCGAGUUAUCCUAGAUCUAAUAUUUAUUUGUAUUCUGAUUUUUAGGAGAGGUCGACUGUUUUGCAUUUGCAUUGGUCAGUGGAUGAUUUUGACAAAAUAUUUUCAUACUUUUCCUAAUUUACAUUGUAGCUAAACGUCACCAAACAUGUCAAAUAUUCCGUCGUUUUUGCAUUCAAAAGAGAACAGUUGCACCUCUUCCGUUUCACAAUAAUUUGUUAAAUAAUAGAUUUUUAGAAUGUCGUUGUA
This is a long non-coding RNA of Xenia sp. Carnegie-2017, 867 nucleotides long. RefSeq lists it as uncharacterized. The record is from RefSeq and is a predicted model, not a curated record. Lineage: Eukaryota; Metazoa; Cnidaria; Anthozoa; Malacalcyonacea; Xeniidae. The transcript has 2 exons.